RNAcentral lists this ribosomal RNA (491 nucleotides) under uncultured bacterium. Its description in RNAcentral is "bacterial SSU rRNA". It matches the Rfam family "Bacterial small subunit ribosomal RNA", at positions 17 to 518 of the family's 1533-position model. The record is from RNAcentral.
UUCUGGCUCAGGAUGAACGCUGGCGGCGUGCCUAACACAUGCAAGUCGAACGGAGUUACUAGAGCUUGCUUGGUAACUUAGUGGCGGACGGGUGAGUAAUGUAUGAGCAACCUGCCUUUCAGAGGGGGACAACAGUUGGAAACGACUGCUAAUACCGCAUAACGUGCGGAGGGGGCAUCCCUUUCGUACCAAAGGAGCAAUCCACUGAAAGAUGGGCUCAUAUCUGAUUAGUUAGUUGGCAGGGUAACGGCCUACCAAGACUGCGAUCAGUAGCCGGACUGAGAGGUUGAACGGCCACAUUGGGACUGAGAUACGGCCCAGACUCCUACGGGAGGCAGCAGUGGGGAAUAUUGGGCAAUGGGCGAAAGCCCUGACCCAGCAACGCCGCGUGAAGGAAGAAGGUCUUCGGAUUGUAAACUUCUUUUAUGAGGGACGAAGGACGUGACGGUACCUCAUGAAUAAGCCACGGCUAACUACGUGCCAGCAGCGGC